This 521-nucleotide ribosomal RNA is filed under the name uncultured bacterium. RNAcentral's name for it is "partial 16S ribosomal RNA". It matches the Rfam family "Bacterial small subunit ribosomal RNA", at positions 28 to 523 of the family's 1533-position model. The record is from RNAcentral.
GACGAACGCUGGCGGCGUGCCUAAUACAUGCAAGUUGGACGCUUCUUUCUUAUCGAACUUCGGUUCACCAAGAAAGAAGAGUAGCGAACGGGUGAGUAACACGUGGGUAAGCUGCCAAUCAGCGGGGGAUAACACUUGGAAACAGGUGCUAAUACCGCAUAAUACUUUUUCCCUCAUGAGUAAAAGUUGAAAGGAGCUUUUGCGUCACUUAUGGAUGGACCCGCGGUGCAUUAGCUAGUUGGUAGGGUAACGGCCUACCAAGGCAACGAUGCAUAGCCGACCUGAGAGGGUGAUCGGCCACACUGGGACUGAGACACGGCCCAGACUCCUACGGGAGGCAGCAGUAGGGAAUCUUCGGCAAUGGACGAAAGUCUGACCGAGCAACGCCGCGUGAGUGAAGAAGGUUUUCGGAUCGUAAAACUCUGUUGUUAGAGAAGAACAAGGAUGAGAAGAGAAUGUUCAUCCCUUGACGGUAUCUAACCAGAAAGCCACGGCUAACUACGUGCCAGCAGCCGCAGUAA